AUUGAACGCUGGCGGCAGGCCUAACACAUGCAAGUCGAACGGUAGCACAGAGAGCUUGCUCUCGGGUGACGAGUGGCGGACGGGUGAGUAAUGUCUGGGAAACUGCCCGAUGGAGGGGGGUAACUACUGGAAACGGUAGCUAAUACCGCGUAACGUCGCAAGACCAAAGAGGGGGACCUUCGGGUCCGUCUUGCCAUCGGAUGUGCCCACGAUGGGAUUAGCUUGUAGGUGAGGUAACGG
This 240-nucleotide ribosomal RNA is filed under the name uncultured bacterium. RNAcentral describes it as "partial 16S ribosomal RNA". It matches the Rfam family "Bacterial small subunit ribosomal RNA", at positions 30 to 263 of the family's 1533-position model. The record is from RNAcentral.